This 253-nucleotide ribosomal RNA is filed under the name uncultured bacterium. RNAcentral describes it as "partial 16S ribosomal RNA". It matches the Rfam family "Bacterial small subunit ribosomal RNA", at positions 524 to 776 of the family's 1533-position model. The record is from RNAcentral.
GACGGAGGAUCCGAGCGUUAUCCGGAAUCAUUGGGUUUAAAGGGUCCGCAGGCGGGUUAAUAAGUCAGUGGUGAAAUCUCUCAGCUUAACUGGGAAACUGCCAUUGAUACUGUUAGUCUUGAAUUCGGUCGAAGUAGGCGGAAUGUGUCAUGUAGCGGUGAAAUGCAUAGAUAUGACACAGAACACCGAUAGCGAAGGCAGCUUACUAGGCCUGAAUUGACGCUCAUGGACGAAAGCGUGGGGAGCAAACAGG